AAAUCUCGCCGGGCCUUUCUUGCUAGGUGAGCUCUUCCCAAAUAUCUCAGCUAUCUCUUGCCAUCUCACAGGUAUAUGUAUCGUCAAAGAAAGCAUGGAAGCAAGAAGCAAUGGGAUAACCAGACGCUUCACAGCUUAUAUCUAAUUCCACCUAAUUUUCUUACAAAUUCAAAGAGCUUCUUGACUAUGAAGAAGAGGAAGAGAAAGUCCCUGAAUCCGUUACCACCAAAGCCAGUUUUCUUUGCAUUAAGGUGGAGUUUGGAGCCUAUGGCAAUGGUUGUAAAGUGCUUUGAAAAUUUAUGAAACUACCCAAAGGAGGAGGGGGACCAAUCCAGUUUGGAAAGUAAUUCAAACAGUUUCUGUUUGUUUCUUUUUCCCUUUUCUUCAGUUUGUUUUGAAUUUUUUGGAUGGGCUUUUAAGUGAUGACUCUGAACAUUCUUUUUUGUUGUUUUUAUUAUUAGAUUUAGCUCUGGUUUUCCUCCCUUCUUCUGUAAAAAAUAAAAAAUAAAAACUGGUAUUUUGUUUUGAUUUUCUAUAAUUUUAGUUGGUUCCACUGUAGUUCAAGUUAAGGUCAUUUGUGGACACUUUGCUCAG
Camellia sinensis is the source of this 594-nucleotide non-coding RNA. NCBI's taxonomy places the organism in Eukaryota, Viridiplantae, Streptophyta, Magnoliopsida, Ericales, Theaceae. The record is from RefSeq and is a predicted model, not a curated record.